GACGAACGCUGGCGGCGUGCUUAACACAUGCAAGUCGAGCGGUAAGGCCCUUUCGGGGGUACACGAGCGGCGAACGGGUGAGUAACACGUGGGUGACCUGCCCUCAGCUCUGGGAUAAGCCCGGGAAACUGGGUCUAAUACUGGAUAUGACUCCACGGUGCAUGUCGUGGGGUGGAAAGCCUUGUGCGGCUGAGGAUGGGCCCGCGGCCUAUCAGCUUGUUGGUGGGGUGAUGGCCACCAAGGCGACGACGGGUAGCCGGCCUGAGAGGGCGACCGGCCACACUGGGACUGAGACACGGCCCAGACUCCUACGGGAGGCAGCAGUGGGGAAUCUUGCGCAAUGGGCGAAAGCCUGACGCAGCGACGCCGCGUGAGGGAUGACGGCCUC
RNAcentral lists this ribosomal RNA (388 nucleotides) under uncultured bacterium. RNAcentral describes it as "bacterial SSU rRNA". It matches the Rfam family "Bacterial small subunit ribosomal RNA", at positions 28 to 418 of the family's 1533-position model. The record is from RNAcentral.